GUGGGGAAUAUUGGACAAUGGGCGCAAGCCUGAUCCAGCCAUGCCGCGUGAGUGAUGAAGGCCUUAGGGUUGUAAAGCUCUUUCACCGGUGAAGAUAAUGACGGUAACCGGAGAAGAAGCCCCGGCUAACUUCGUGCCAGCAGCCGCGGUAAUACGAAGGGGGCUAGCGUUGUUCGGAAUUACUGGGCGUAAAGCGCACGUAGGCUGAUAUUUAAGUCAGGGGUGAAAUCCCGGGGCUCAACCCCGGAACUGCCUUUGAUACUGGGUAUCUUGAGUAUGGAAGAGGUCAGUGGAAUUGCGAGUGUAGAGGUGAAAUUCGUAGAUAUUCGCAGGAACACCAGUGGCGAAGGCGGCUGACUGGUCCAUUACUGACGCUGAGGUGCGAAAGCGUGGGGAGCAAACAGGAUUAGAAACCCGUGUAGUCC
Molecule: ribosomal RNA, 425 nt
Filed under: uncultured bacterium
Lineage: Bacteria
Description: partial 16S ribosomal RNA
Rfam family: Bacterial small subunit ribosomal RNA
Source: RNAcentral